This 443-nucleotide ribosomal RNA is filed under the name uncultured bacterium. RNAcentral describes it as "partial 16S ribosomal RNA". It matches the Rfam family "Bacterial small subunit ribosomal RNA", at positions 338 to 795 of the family's 1533-position model. The record is from RNAcentral.
CCUACGGGAGGCUGCAGUGGGGAAUAUUGGGCAAUGGGCGCAAGCCUGACCCAGCAACGCCGCGUGAAGGAAGAAGGCUUUCGGGUUGUAAACUUCUUUUCUCAGGGACGAAGAAAGUGACGGUACCUGAGGAAUAAGCCACGGCUAACUACGGGCCAGCCGCCGCGUUAAUACGUAGGGGGCAAGCGUUAGACGGAUGUAUUGGGUGUAAAGGGCGUGAAGGCGGGAGCGCAAGUGAGAUGUGAAAACUCAGGGCUCAACCCUGGGCCUGCAUUUGAUACUGUGUUUCUUGAGUGCUGUAGAGGCAAUCAGAAUUCCGUGUGUAGCGGUGAAAUGCGUAGAGAUACGGAGGAACACCAGUGACGAAGGCGGAUUGUUGGAAAGUAACUGACGCUGAGGCGCGAAAGCGUGGGGAGCAAACAGGAUUAGAUACCCGAGUAGUC